GUGCGGCGGGGGAACGCCCAUGUAUUAUCCCCUGAACAUCUCGCUGGGUUAAGAAGCCAACACUUCUGGCCACGUAGCAACGUGCGCGCUCCCCUUCCGCUCAGUACGCCUUUAACUCGAAACCCACGCGAUAGUCUCGACAAGCCGCACCCUUCCCAUAGCUGCUUCAUUUACUGUUUCCCAUCUUACGUACCGUUCCUAACGGCUGGCAAGUGCUGGAAGUUCUCAAGUUCGGAUGGUCCAACAAUGACCCUACGGUAGGUUGAGGGCGAUGGAGAAAAUUGCACAGGACACAGUGAAUGCUCCCCUCGUUCGGCCUACGUCGCACUACUAGGCCUGGCGGUAGCAAACGCGUAUCGGAAUUCCCCACAGUUACGACGCCCUUACCGUUGUGGACACAGGCAUUAUCUUUAGGGUACUGCGGUCUGGCGUUGAGGAUAAUAGCGUCACCGAAACGAUAUAACUUGGCUGAUCAUCAAGUUCCCCAAGUACGAAGGGAAAACACCAUAUAAAAGUCUAUCUUUCCUUUCUUCUAAGAAGAACCGGGCUUCCGAACGACGACAGAGAAAGAUUUUGCACCCGGGCUUCGACACACAGCUCGAGUGCGCUGGCAACAGCAAGGGACGAGGAAUUAUUCCGAAAGAAGCAGACAUUCAUAGGCCACCAUAGCACCUCAANN
This 679-nucleotide long non-coding RNA is filed under the name Spirodela polyrhiza (greater duckweed). Its description in RNAcentral is "long non-coding RNA (SPOL_LNC000355)". Lineage: Eukaryota; Viridiplantae; Streptophyta; Magnoliopsida; Alismatales; Araceae. The record is from RNAcentral.